RNAcentral lists this transfer RNA (77 nucleotides) under subsurface metagenome. RNAcentral describes it as "tRNA-Ile". It matches the Rfam family "tRNA". Rfam says of the family: Transfer RNA (tRNA) molecules are approximately 80 nucleotides in length. Their secondary structure includes four short double-helical elements and three loops (D, anti-codon, and T loops). The record is from RNAcentral.
GGGCCCGUAGCUCAGUUGGUUAGAGCAUUGCCCUGAUAAGGCAAAGGCUGUUGGUUCGAAUCCAACCGAGCCCACCA